Long non-coding RNA from Eriocheir sinensis (Chinese mitten crab), 456 nucleotides. RefSeq lists it as uncharacterized. The transcript is spliced from 3 exons. The record is from RefSeq and is a predicted model, not a curated record. NCBI's taxonomy places the organism in Eukaryota, Metazoa, Arthropoda, Malacostraca, Decapoda, Varunidae.
CGGCGGGAACAUGGCACACUUGUCUCCCGUGGAAAAACUGCAGGCGCCGUCCAUGGAGAAGCAGUACUGAGUCUGGAGGGGCGGCGAGGGAUGCAUUAGUCAGCCUGCCUGUGUGUCCCUCAGUAGGAACGAGGCCAGACUCCCACCGAUUCACAGAAGGGGUGGCCGUUGGCUUGGAUGUCCACUUUGUAGGUCCCCACGUCCGCCCACUGCCCUUCCCUCUGCCAGUUCAGCACCAGAGACGUCGUGGUCACCUGGUUGAUGGUCACCUUCUGGCCUGGAGCGAGGAUAAGGAGUAAGGAGUUGACAGUUUACAGGUUCUGCUAGGUGGGUAGACCAGGCUCCUCCUCUUCAUCUUGGACAAAAGCAGUGAAGGUCUGGUGGAGUGCCGUGGCCAUGCGAUACUCCUGUGUUCCUUCAGGCAGAAGGUGCAGCGUUUGGCUCAGCAACUCUACA